RNAcentral lists this ribosomal RNA (509 nucleotides) under uncultured bacterium. RNAcentral describes it as "bacterial SSU rRNA". It matches the Rfam family "Bacterial small subunit ribosomal RNA", at positions 30 to 518 of the family's 1533-position model. The record is from RNAcentral.
CGAACGCUGGCGGCGUGCUUAACACAUGCAAGUCGAACGCGAAAGGGACUUCGGUCCUGAGUAAAGUGGCGCACGGGUGAGUAACGCGUAGAUAACCUGUCUUCAUGUCUGGAAUAAUACGCCGAAAGGGGUACUAAUACCGGAUAUUCUUGCUUUUCAUAAGUUAUGCAAGCAAAGGUGGCCUCUGCAUAUGCUACUGCAUGAAGAGGGGUCUGCGUACCAUUAGCUAGUAGGUGGGGUAAUGGCCUACCUAGGCGACGAUGGUUAGCGGGUCUGAGAGGAUGAUCCGCCACACUGGCACUGGAACACGGGCCAGACUCCUACGGGAGGCAGCAGUGAGGAAUAUUGCGCAAUGGGGGAAACCCUGACGCGGCGACGCCGCGUGAAGUGAGGAAGGCCUUCGGGUCGUAAAGCUCUGUCAAGAGGAAAGAAGUGUACAAUGGCUAAUACCUGUUGUAUUUGACGGUACCUCUAAAGGAAGCACCGGCUAACUCCGUGCCAGCCGCUGC